AUCACACAACAUGUAUAUAUUUUUUGGCUGUAUUCAGUGGAAUGGAAACCAGUGGAAUCAAAGAAAAGAAGGAUAGAAGCAAUUCAGAGAGUGAAAUUUCCACAAAGGGAAUAAAAGAGUUGAAGUCAAAGAGACAAUUAAGGUGCCUUGGGGGAACAGCCUGCAUGUAGAGGACCCACUCCGGAACAGACCCUCAGUUCCCUCUUUGAGGUGGAGAGGGUGAAAGAGCAAGGUGCAGAAGCAAUCAAACAGGGGUGAGCUGUAAGCAAAGA
Molecule: non-coding RNA, 272 nt
Organism: Ictidomys tridecemlineatus (thirteen-lined ground squirrel)
Lineage: Eukaryota; Metazoa; Chordata; Mammalia; Rodentia; Sciuridae
Source: RefSeq, a predicted model, not a curated record